Arvicola amphibius (Eurasian water vole) is the source of this 3684-nucleotide long non-coding RNA. RefSeq lists it as uncharacterized. The record is from RefSeq and is a predicted model, not a curated record. The transcript has 3 exons. Lineage: Eukaryota; Metazoa; Chordata; Mammalia; Rodentia; Cricetidae.
UGAGUCAGGCUUGUCCACCUGGGGACAGCGCUGGGAGGUGAGGCCGAGGGCGAAUGGCUCUGCAGGACGGGAGGUGCAAGGCAGGUAGGCGACCGGUUGUCCCUCAGAGCGCCCUCCACACAGGAAACAAAAGCAAAAGGAGGUCGGCUCCCUUACUCUCUCCCCGCGGCACAAGUUACAGUCCUCGCGGGUGGGGGUCCAAUAGACAGGCUCUCCACUGUUUCUUUUUAUCGACGCGGUCUAGGGAGUGGCUUGGGGUUUCCAGAGGCAGGAUUGGGACCCGGAAACUCCACCUCGAUCUUGACCAAAUCUUUUCUGGUUUGGCGAUACCUAGAUACUAGGAAGGCCUCUCCCGGGGCACCGGCUUCAAGGAGUUCAAAUGCACCUCCUUAAAUCUGUGCUGAGAGCGAAACCACUGAAAGCUACACCCAAGCCGGCUUGAAUUUCCUUCAAGAUUUGACUCAGCUAUCACCAACUCAAAGGAUCUACCCACACCCUCUGUCCCAGCGUUCUCUAUCUUUAAUGAUAUAUUAGGCUUGUGGUAUUGGCUGACUACAGUGUAAGAACUAACCAUGGUUAGCAAUACCUUAAGACUUGUUUGGUUUUGCAUAUUUUCUUUUACAAUUUAUACUUCUACUUGUAUAAGUCAUAUAACAUUGAUUCAUGUAUUGGGCAGUUUUUUGUUGCUAUAACAAAAAUCUCUAAGAAAAUAACUAAAGAGAGGAAAGGUUCGAUUUUGGUUUGUGGUCCAUGGCUGCCUGGGCCUCUGGCUUUGGGCCUGAGGCAGGGCUGAGUGUCAAGAUGGAAAGCCCAUUAUGGUGCAAAUCUGGUUACAAUAAAUUAGAAUUUUAAUGUUAGCAACUUCUUGUCUUUAUUGAUUACAUGGCGAGCACAUGAAUGCCACGGGCUUUUAUUUUUAAGUGAAGCUAUGGUGGUGACAUCUUAGUCACCAACUAAACAUGAUAUUAAAAUUUGAUAUUUAUAUACUACGGUUGGCACGUAUCUGGGGAGAACUGAGGAUACUAAUUUAGCAUGCUAUUAAUAAGUCUGGCAGCUCAAAAAUCCCUGGCAAACACACUUAGGCAGAUAAUUGGAUUUCCCCCAAAUUUCAAAGGCUAAUUUCUUUUUUCAAGAUUUAAUAUUUUUAUUGUCUUGGAGAAUUUCAUGCAAUAUAUUUGGAUCAUACUCAUUCCCUACCCCUCUUCUCCCCUUAACUCUUCACAGACGCAUACCCACCUCCCCAUUCCUACCUCUCUUCCCCUCUUCUUAAAUUUUUAUCCUUAAAAGCUAAUUUCUUACCACAUAUCAACUGUUAUGUUGGGGUAGUUGAGGUAUUGACUACAGUCUUUAUUGCUAUAUAAUUAUAAACGGGUGCUCUUUUUUUUUCAAUGAGGGUGGUCAGUGAGAGAAGGUUAACCUGGAUAAAGCCACUUACUACCACCUGCUGACCUGAGUUCAGUUCCCCAGACCCUCAUAGGAAAAGGAAGCAAUUGAUUCCCCAAAGUUAUCCUCUGGCCCAUGCACUGAGCUUCACAGGGGAGUUACAGGGUUAAGUAUAGUCAACAAACAGAAAUACAGCAAGACCACUGAGAAGCUGCCUGGCAUUCGUAUGUACAUCCACUAGGACCUGGCUCAGCAGAGAGUGACAGAAACCAAUGGUGACAUUAAAAUAGCAUCCUCUUUCCCACAGAUCCAUGGGCAGUCCAGAGCUGGUACGGAAGCAGUUGUCAUUUACCCAGACUCCUGCUAUUUUGAGUUCUGUCUGUUCUCAAAGUGGGGUUUCUAUGCGAGGGCCUAACUGGCUGUCACAGCAUGGGUCACCGUAUCCAUACUCCAGCUGGUAGGAGGAAAGGGAGGCAGAGCAGAGGACAAAGCUGAUGUCUGGAAGAAGUCGCACACAGUCAGACGUAACGGUGCAUGCUUAUAACCUUGACUCCUGGGAGACUGAGACAGGAAAAUGGCGAUUUUAGGCUGGACUAGAACACACACCAAGAUCUACCAAAGCCUGGGAUAUGAAGUGGUCCCUUUGAAAGGGUCGUUGGGAUUCCCAAGGAGGUCGUGACUCACAGAUUGAAGCCCACUGCCUUAAACACACUACGACAUGGAGGGAACCUGAAGAAAACAUUCUAGGUGAAAGAAGAAAUCUCAUACAACCACACAUUAUAGGGUUCCUGUUAAAUGAUGUGUGGGAAACAAAUCCCUUAACAGGGGUAGAUUUCUGGUGAGUUAGAAGGGUGAGGAGGAGUAAGAGGUUCUAACAGCUUGUGGCCAAGUUUCUCCACUACCUAGCCUUAAGAAACUCCCGCCAUAUUAAGGAAAACUAAAUAGGCCACAUGCACAAACACGCACAAGUCCAUAACUUCAAUUUAUUAUAAUUUAUUAUUUGUGCUUUGUGAGCAUUGGUGUUUUGCUUGCAUGUAUGUCUGUGUGACAGUGUCAGAUCCUUUGUAACAGGAGUUACAGACAGUUGUGACCUGUCAUGUGGCUGCUGGGAUUGAACAUGGGUCCUCUGGAAGAGCAGUCUUAAUUGCUGAGACAUCUCUCCACUCCCCCAUAACUUCAUCACACAUGCUGUUUUGAACUACAAAUUGGUAAAUAAGUAUUAAGGGGUUUUGUUGUUGUUUGUUUUGUUUCUCUGUGUAGCCCUGGCUAUCCUAGAACACACUCUAUAGACCAGGCUGACCUCAGACUCAUAGAGAUCCACCUGCCUCUGCCUCCUGAGUACUGGGAUUAAAGGUAUGCUCCAUCACCACCCGGCAAAAUAUUGAUUUUUUAAUGUAAAAGCAGGCAUGUGUAUGCCCAUUGCCAAUUGCAUGUUCAGGGGUCUUCAAUGUUAUUAGUAUCACGUUCUUCCUACCCCACAGUAAGCAUAUAUAUAUAUGUGUAUAUAUACAUAUAUGUGUACAUAUACACAUAUGUACACAUAUAUAUGUAUAUAUAUAUUUAUGUGUGUAAUAUUUUUAUUUAUUGUUUGGGAAUUUCACAUCCUGAACUCCAACCACAUUUACUUCCCAGUCCUCCCAGAUCCACAUUGUCACCUUUGUGACCUCCCCCAGAAGAGGAAGAGGAGGAAGAGAAGAAGGAGCAAUCUAAUUUGUGUUGUCUAUAUAUUCACUGCAGCAUGGGCAAACUCCCAUGGCCAGCUCCUAAGCGUGAUUGCUAGGAUUUAACAGAAACUGUCCAUCUAUAUUGGCUAUGUACCUCCAGUUCCUCCUAAAGCCCUUGCAAACUCCGGAGUCUUUUGUCAUUUCUCUAUGACUUCUGGAGUCAGCAGGUGUGUCCUUUGUCAUCCCUACUUAAGUCCCUUCCUGUCUUGUCUGAACUUGUGCCAAUUCAGUGACUCAGAAUAGACCUUUAGUAGGACUCAAAGAUGAGCCAGUCACACCAGGAAGGCUGCGGACAUGACUAGAGGGUUGGGCUGUCAACUGCCAUCAACGAGUUGCUUUUCUUAUUGCUGUGACUUAAGGGAGAAAGGAUCAGGUCUGGCUGAUAGUCUCAGGGAAUAUGGUUCGUCAGGUAAAUGGAGGGUAUCUCUCGGUAGUUGUGGGAGCUUCCAAUGGUAUCUCCUCCCCAUAUUUUAGUGGAUUAGAAAGCAGGGAAGGGGAAACAGACAAGAUCUCCUAAGUAAAUUAGGAGCGUGGGGGGGGGGGGUGAAGGGGAGCGAGGAGGGGAAUAAAAGGACCA